ACGACCAUAUCCAUUCGAAAAUACGGGAUCCCGUCCGCUCUCCCAGAGUCAAGCGAAUGAGAGGCAGAUUAGUAGUCAGGUGGGUGACCACUGGCGAACACCGGCUGUUGUAUGUC
This 116-nucleotide ribosomal RNA is filed under the name Trichoderma virens Gv29-8. Lineage: Eukaryota; Fungi; Ascomycota; Sordariomycetes; Hypocreales; Hypocreaceae. The record is from RNAcentral.